Long non-coding RNA from Leopardus geoffroyi (Geoffroy's cat), 822 nucleotides. RefSeq lists it as uncharacterized. Lineage: Eukaryota; Metazoa; Chordata; Mammalia; Carnivora; Felidae. The transcript has 2 exons. The record is from RefSeq and is a predicted model, not a curated record.
UCUGCUAAGGUGAAACAGGAGAAUGGGCAUUAGCUUUCCAAGAGAUUUUUGUGCUGUUUCGGAAAGCAGGAUACUCAGUGGUGGACUAACUGUGUGUGUGGAUGUGUGUGCAAGCACAUGUAGUGGAGGGCAGAGAACGACUUAAAGGGACCUUCUUUACCCUAUAGCAUGCUCUAAUGUAGAAGGAGUACAUCUUCUGGGCUUACUCUGUAGUGCCUAAGUAUGCUACAAUAUCAACACUAAUCACUAUUAUAAUGAAGAGUGCAGUUGUUUUCGAGAAGAAAUAGUGGUCAGGUAGGUUUCUAGAAUUUGUAAAGUGAGGUUUCUAGGUAAGUGUUCAAAGCUUUUCUUUUCCUCUGCCUCUGCCCAGGGGUGGGUCAAGGACAGGCUCAUGCUGCCAGGAGGAAUUUCUCUCCUUAGGAGAAGCAGAGGGACUCAGGGGCUAUGCUCACAUGAGAGUGACUCUCUUCUGCCCUUCUGACUCCCAUGGACUCCAUGCCUACUUGAAGUGCCAGCUGUGCUCUGGGCUUUGGGAACACUCCCACCUACUUCUCCUCUGGCCUCUAGCCUAAUAAAAGGAGCCCUCUCCUGUUUGCUGUGGCUGCUCUGAAGAAUAACCAGAUGAGAAGCUUCUCCUGUCUGGGCAGGGAUUUGCAAGAAGAUUCCUUCUGGGUAGAUCUACUCAACUCUUCACACUUGGCCAGAAUCAGAAGUGUGCCAGGCACAGGCACAGUGCUGGAGAGAAAACACUGAAAGUGUCAGUAAUUGGCCUCAAGGAGCUCAUCUGGUGGAGAAAACAGAAAAGAAUCAAUUACAAUAUGA